AUGCCUUGGCACAGCUUCGACGGACGCCUUUUCCACUUAAAGUACCUGCAAGCACAAAGUGGUGUGGAAAAAGUUGUAUUGUUGGAGAGUGAUUCAUUUUUGUCUUUGUUUCUCUGUCUGAGAGGAAAACUAAUGGAAACCUGUAGGAAGAAAGGAAGAAUCCUGGAGUCCAGACCCAAUAAAAGAGAGCAAGGUCAUAAAACCACACCAGGCACCAGUUUCAAAGAAAGACUCACCGGCAUUCAGUUCUAUUCAGUGUCGGAUGAUGCAGUUGGAACUGGCAGCAUCUGUCAGACUUAGUGAGUCCACUAUCAUCACCAUCAUCCAAACUCCCCCAGGGUUCGAUCACAUCACAAACAUCACAUCACAAACAGAG
Molecule: long non-coding RNA, 376 nt
Filed under: Takifugu rubripes (torafugu)
Lineage: Eukaryota; Metazoa; Chordata; Actinopteri; Tetraodontiformes; Tetraodontidae
Description: lncRNA (ENSTRUG00000033068.1)
Source: RNAcentral